CGUGUAGGCGGCUUGCUAAGUCUUGCGUGAAAUCUCGGGGCUCAACCCCGAGCGGUCGUGAGAAACUGGCAGGCUAGAGUGCGGGAGAGGAGAGUGGAAUUCCUGGUGUAGCGGUGAAAUGCGCAGAUAUCAGGAAGAACACCCGUAGCGAAGGCGGCUCUCUGGAACGCAACUGACGCUGAGACGCGAAAGCGUGGGAGCAAACA
This 206-nucleotide ribosomal RNA is filed under the name uncultured bacterium. Its description in RNAcentral is "partial 16S ribosomal RNA". It matches the Rfam family "Bacterial small subunit ribosomal RNA", at positions 568 to 774 of the family's 1533-position model. The record is from RNAcentral.